This 125-nucleotide small RNA is filed under the name Marmota monax (woodchuck). Lineage: Eukaryota; Metazoa; Chordata; Mammalia; Rodentia; Sciuridae. The record is from RNAcentral.
GUCGGGUGCGGUGGUGCACACCUGUAAUCCCAGUGGUUCGGGAGGCCGAGGCAGGAGGAUCGCGAGUUCAAAGCCAGCCUCAGCAAAAGCAAGGUGCUAAGCAACCCAGUGAGACCCUGUCUCUA